CCAAUAGCGUAUAUUAAAGUUGUUGCAGUUAAAAAGCUCGUAGUUGAAUUUCGGGGUCAGUAGGUUGGUCAUGCCACUGGUAUGUACUGGUCUCACUGAUUCCUCCUUCCUGAUGAGCCGUAAUGCCAUUAAUUUGGUGUUGCGAGGAAUCUGGACUGUUACUUUGAAAAAAUUAGAGUGUUUAAAGCAAGCUAACGCUUGAAUACAUUAGCAUGGAAUAAUGAAAUAGGACGUUCGAUCCUAUUUUGUUGGUUUCUAGGAUUGACGUAAUGAUUAAUAGG
This 281-nucleotide ribosomal RNA is filed under the name uncultured Glomus. RNAcentral describes it as "partial 18S small subunit ribosomal RNA". It matches the Rfam family "Eukaryotic small subunit ribosomal RNA", at positions 591 to 876 of the family's 1831-position model. The record is from RNAcentral. Lineage: Eukaryota; Fungi; Glomeromycota; Glomeromycetes; Glomerales; Glomeraceae.